GACACUGGGACGAGGAAACUGAGCUCCGGGCACAGCUCAGCCCGUGGGAAUUGCCCAACUGGGCUGUCGCAAUGGGCUAGGAGGCCAGGGUCGGCCCUGCCGCUGGCUGCCAGGACCAGGCCUCCUGGCCACCCUAAGCGCCUAGAAUCUGGGGACAAUAGCGGCCAAGCAGUUAACAUCUGCUCUGCGAUGGCGGUAAAAAGGAAAGCAAAAUUUCGAUCUAUUUUUCUGGGAAGAGAGUAAGAGAUUUGGGCUGUCCCGGCAGGACCCGAGCUUUGCAACACACCGGUGUUCCUUUAAGUCCAAAAGAGGGCCGAGAAACCAGCUGGCCCACAGUUCACAGAACAUCCCAGCAGGAACCCGUACCCCUGUGGAGACUGCUGAGAAACUGGAGCCUAUCCAGGCCACGGCCACGGCCGGGGAUCAGCCCCAACCUACGGAGCCCAUUAACAGUCGCUACCUGGUAAUUUCUAAAGCACCCGCUGGGUGGGUGCGUGGUCCACGGGGGGCCACAAAAGCCAAGGACACAAGUUCACUGCCUGCAAGGAGCUUGCCCGUGGGAGAUAAAGCUGGUAACGGGCUCGACACCCAGGCAGCCCUUCCGGGAGGCGGAGAUGGGCUCCAGAAAUGAACAGGAUUCAGAGGCUGCAUCCAAGGACGGAGAGACCAAAGUCCUGGUUGCACCAUUUGGCAGCGUGUCGCCUGACCUCCAGGAGCCUGGGUGUCUUUGUCUUUUAAAUGGGAUUCACAGAGACCCUACCUCUUAGGGUUAGCGUGAGGGCAGAGGGAAAUAAGGUAUAUACAGAGAUUGCCGGCCAGCAGCCAGUGCUUCAGACACACUAUCGAGAAGGAGCUUCAGGGGAGUUCCCGUGGUGGCUCAGCAAUAAUGAACUUGGCUAAUAUCCCUAAGGACGAGCGUUCAAUCCUUGGCCUUGCUCAGGGGGUUAAAGAUCUGGUGUUGCUGUGAGUUGUGGUGUGGGUCACAGACAUGGCUUGGAUCCUGUGUUGCUGUAGCUGUGGUGUAGGCUGGACGCCGUAGAUCUGAUUCGACCCCUAGCCUGGGAACUUCCAUAUGCCUUGGGCGUGACCCUAAAAAGGAAAAAAAAAAAAAAAAAAAGGAAAUUCAGGAAAACAACAUGAAUGAACCUCAAAGACAUGACCCCAGUUGAAAGAGGGCAGGUGUGCAAAGUGGCACACGGAAUGGUUCUUUUCCUAGGAAGUGGCCAGAGCGUUAAGUAAAUCCCUAGAGAUGAGAAGCAGAUUAGUGGUUGCCAAGGGCCGGGGGAGGGGAAAGGGGUGUCUUUUUGGGGUGAUGACAAUAUGUUGGAACUAGAUAGGGGGUGAUUGCAUGGGAAUAGGUGAAAGGUCACGGGACAGUGCAUUUUAAAACGGUGCAUUUCGGAAUUCCCUGGUGGCCUAGCGAUUAAAAGAGGCAGAGUCCUUCAAUCCCCAGCCUGAGGUCGAGGCCAAAAACAUUAAAAUGAAAUCAAAUGGUUCAUUUUUUGGUAUGUGAAUGUCACCUCAAUUAAAAAAAUGUCUUGAAGGAAAUUUGUUUGCACAAACCUAGUGAAUGGGACACUCGCCAGGGCCAGACCCCAGACACUCUGCCUCCUGUCACCCUCCAGCCUGGGCUGAGUGAGCUGGGUCACCCUCUGUCCAGGCCUGGACACCCUCAGCCUGGCCGGUGGGGCCUAGCGGAGCCCAGACAUGGGGGCAGGGUGGGGGGCUGCCCCACACAGUUCGGGGAGAGGCCAGUGUCCCCAGGCUGCUGGGAGGACCAAGUUACAUCAGAGGUCGUGUGCGAGAUGCGUUACAAAGAGAGAGGGAUGAGCUCCAGGUGCACUGGCUGCACCUGCCAUGGAGCACCUGCCGUGGCGGGACGAGGGGAGCACGAGGGGAUGUGCGCAGCCAGGGAGCCCACAGGGGUCAAGGCAGAGUCCCCGCCUGGCCCAGACCCGGGGACAGUCAGCUCCUCUGCCCACCCCCACCCCCCUCCCUCUCCUGGCCUCCCUGGCUCCCCCUCAGAGUCCCAUCCUAAUCCUGCCAGGAGAGGGAGCCCAGGGCAGUGGGUCUCCGUCCUGUGUCCCCCCUGCAGGCAGCCAGGCCAGAGAGAGAGCUGUCCAGCCCGCAGCCACGGAGGAGGCGCCCGCCACCCAGCUGACAUGGGGGCGGGUCUCAGGCUUUCCCCACUGGGCCACCACUGCCAGGGCAGCCUCCUGGGCUUUGGGCCACCAGGCGGAAAGGAUAAAAAGAGGCCACAUGCCUCCUGCCACGUGGAGGCAUCCACGCACCAGGGGCAACACUGUCACACAGAACUCGGGUGCCAGAGGACCACGUGGGCAUUCAGCAGGGCGAGUUGGCAGGACCGACACCACUGCCUGUUGGGAUCCCAGGACUCGGGGAGGCCAUGCUGCCGAGGGUGCCCUAGCCGGCCCGGCCCAGGCUGGGAGCCACCAGUAUGAGACGCCACUUGACUGGCAAGAAACUCACCUUCCGAGGAACCUGCCAGUCUUCAAACUCAUAAAUGCCCUCCAGAGUUAGUGACCCCUGAACUACGGGCAGAUGUUAAGUGCCCAUAACCCUUUCCGGCUGGUGAUAACCCCGCGGCACUCUUGGCUUUUCUUGCGAUGGGUUUGCUGUUUUCUCCAAGGAGUGGGUUUCAUCAGAUCCGGGUGCCCAAGACCGUGGCAAGGACCCAGCCACGGAAGGAGGGGCUGGACGGCGGCUCACAGUCCCCUUGUGCAGCUCCAGCGCGGGGCAAAAUCCCGCACAGGCCUGCGGUGAGGCCUCGCAAACAAGCAGCAGCAUGAUCCUGCCGGCCAGCUCAGCCCCCAGCCUUGGCCCAGAGCGGCUCUGGCCGCCCCGCCUCUGGCUCCCCUCCUGCAGCCCAUGCCGACCGCCCGCCACCAGAGGCCUUGCCAGCCGCCGAGGCAGCCCCUUGCGUCCCGUCCCCAGAGCCCUCAGCAGCCCUGAAGUCAUUCUGCUCCAGGAUCUGCUCCGUGUUUAUGUCCUGCCUCGGUCUCCGGGGGGCCUGACGUGCUCCCUGCAGCUUGUCCCCAGCACCCAGCCCCCGCGGGAACAAGGACCCGAGACGGAAACGGCAAAAGCGCUGUGAGCAAGACACCUGCCCGCGGAUCCCAGCCCCGCUGCCAGCUAUCUUUCUCCAUCGCUUGGCCGGCCCGAGGAUCUCAAGAAUGGAAAGGGGUUUAGGGGGUCUGGAGACCACCCCACCACCCAAGAAAGGAGCCCGAGGUUAACUCCCACGUUCUCAGGAGAGCCGCCGACGUGUUGAUGCAAGCGCCAAAUAAUCGAAUUGCAGGUGGGGGUGGGGAGGAGAUAAUUGAAUAUCAGCGAGGGGCUGUUGUCAGGUCAGCCAGUUCCUGGCGUGUUCUCGUAUGUAUGUUUUCUGAGAGAGCCCCCAAAUAAAACAGUUCUAUUAUUUUAUGCCACAAAA
This 3454-nucleotide long non-coding RNA is filed under the name Sus scrofa (pig). RNAcentral's name for it is "lncRNA (ENSSSCG00035009061.1, ENSSSCG00065007528.1)". Lineage: Eukaryota; Metazoa; Chordata; Mammalia; Artiodactyla; Suidae. The record is from RNAcentral.